This is a long non-coding RNA of Asparagus officinalis (garden asparagus), 957 nucleotides long. RefSeq lists it as uncharacterized. NCBI's taxonomy places the organism in Eukaryota, Viridiplantae, Streptophyta, Magnoliopsida, Asparagales, Asparagaceae. The transcript has 2 exons. The record is from RefSeq and is a predicted model, not a curated record.
CCCUAAAAAACUCUCUCUCUCUCUCUCUGCCUAAAAAAAACCCAAAUUCUCCAACCCCUCCUCCUCCAUCGAGCUCAAAAAAUCCCUGGAUCCCUCUCUCGUUCGAUCUCUCUCUCUCUCGAGCUCCCCCAACUCCGCCGACUUCCGCCGACGUUCCCCAACUCUGCCGACAAACGACUUCCAGGAUCUCCGCUGCUUGAUCUCCCUCGAGCUCUCUCUCGAGCUCCCCCAACUCCGCCGUCGGCUCUCGAUCUCCCCUAACUCCGUCGAUGGCUCUCGAUCUCCCCCAACUCCGACUUCCCCCAACUCCACCGACGGCCCCCAACUCCGCCGACCUCUCUCGAUCUCCCUCAAGCCCCAAAAAUAGGGAAUCGGCGCUGCAGUGGAAAGUACCCCCACGCUCGAAAAAUCGGGCAACAGCAAAUGCAAGGUCUUCAACUGGUCUGUAUGGCACUGCACCACCAAAAGAAAGAAACCUGGAAAAGGAAGGUGAGAUGUCAAAUACAACGGGAACAGUAAAAGUUGUAUGUACACUGUGUCCUCACAGAAUGUCAGCGUCAAAGUCCAAAAUCAAGGGAGCUCGGUUACAAGACGCCCGGCCUAUAUUACAAUUUAGUCACAUUUCAUCUUCCAUGGAGGACCAAUAUACAAUUAAUGCGCCCUGAAUGCUUAGGAUAGGGCCGCGAUUGUGUGCGUGCAUCCACACACGGAAGCAUGUUGGUGUGUGAGUAUCUGGCAGUAACAUGUGUGCAAAAAUGCAAAUGUAUAACUUACCGUGACAUCCAAUGUCUGAGUUUGAAUAUUCCUUCAUUUCCAUCAUCCGAUCAAAAGAGAGCUAAGAUGAUGCUUACUAUAUUUUUUUUCUGUAAGGAACAAAUAUUUGUAGCUCUGUUGGUUGUAUCUGAAAUGUAUCACUAUCUCCUAUUUGUUUUGUUAGAGGAAUCUUCUUUUUGUAAC